GAAUUCCAUGGAGACUCUGAUGGCUAGGGCACCGUUGAGCUGUUGCAACUGUUCUGCUGGAGCCUUAUGUAUGUGGUUGAAACCACCUGUACUACUGGAAUGAAAGCACCUUUACAGAAGAGGCAAUGCAAGUUGUAUUCAUCACAUGUGUAGAAUGAAUUAAGAUUUAUGCCAGUUGCAAAGAAGAAUAUUGGCUCACUAUUUUUCCUCUGGGCAUGUGGAAAUGUAAAUCAGUCCAUGUUACUCACCUCGGAGAAGCAGAAGUACGAUUUACUAUUGUUGCUUGCUUACUUACUCUUAUCAAUUUCUAUGAGAGAGUUGUACUGCGACAUUAGCUCUUUUGACUAGAUGUGAUGACAGACUGUCUUUGGUCCAUUCUCUUUUAUUGCCUUGGAAGAGAAUAAAUGAGGAGUAGUUCUCACCCAUUGCAGCUGAGGCAUCACACCUGUAAUGGGAUUAACAAGAUGAUAAUAUAUCUUUUGCCAAGACCACAUACUAGCAGCUCCCCUCUCCACUGAGGGCUGAUUUCAUCACUCAACAAAAUUCUCCGAAUUCACCAUCCUUCAGUUCAUCCACAUGACCUCAUUCCUCUUGGGCACCGGACAAGAAUUUGGGAUGCACCAAAUGCAGGGGUACAAGCAAUUUUCCAGUCUUGACCCUUUAUCUGUUGACCAAGCUAAGGCAGAAACCAGCUAAAUUCUGGAUUUAAUCUUGAGCAGCAAAAAAGAUCAGCUUUUGAAGUGGAUCUGCUUUUAUUCUUGGCAAAAGUUCAGCGGAGACCAACCAGAGUGGUGACAAAGUUCUUCAACAUCAAGCCAAAUGUAAUACAAGGAAUUACGGAUAGUGCUUAAUCUAAAAUAAAGAAA
This is a long non-coding RNA of Homo sapiens (human), 866 nucleotides long. Ensembl annotates it as MIR924 host gene. Its record names the gene MIR924HG. The record is from Ensembl. Lineage: Eukaryota; Metazoa; Chordata; Mammalia; Primates; Hominidae.